Molecule: ribosomal RNA, 253 nt
Filed under: uncultured bacterium
Lineage: Bacteria
Description: partial 16S ribosomal RNA
Rfam family: Bacterial small subunit ribosomal RNA
Source: RNAcentral
GACGGAAGGUGCAAGCGUUGCUCGGAAUUACUGGGCGUAAAGGGCGCGUAGGCGGCCGCGCAAGUCUGGCGUGAAAGCCCCGGGCUCAGCCCGGGAAGGGCGCUCGAAACGGCGCGGCUCGAGUGCCGGAGGGGAGAGUGGAAUUCCUGGUGUAGCGGUGAAAUGCGUAGAUAUCAGGAGGAAUACCGGUGGCGAAAGCGACUCUCUGGACGGCAACUGACGCUGAGGCACGAAAGCGUGGGGAGCAAACAGG